AAAAUAUUAAGGCCUAAUUUCGAUUUCGAAAACGGGGGAACCGAUUUUUUUGGGGUGAAUUUCGCGCGAUUGUGGCGGCAGCCGGUAUGGCUGCCUUGGUCGGGCGAUUAGGGCAACUGUGCAUGCCCGAAUCCGUCAGCUAACCUCGUAGGCCUCCUGCAACAGGAACC
Molecule: small RNA, 170 nt
Filed under: Paenibacillus macerans
Lineage: Bacteria; Bacillati; Bacillota; Bacilli; Caryophanales; Paenibacillaceae
Description: c-di-AMP sequence
Rfam family: c-di-AMP riboswitch aptamer (ydaO/yuaA leader)
About the family: This family represents a conserved RNA structure found upstream of the ydaO and yuaA genes in Bacillus subtilis and related genes in other bacteria. The ydaO/yuaA element is thought to act as a genetic "off" switch for the ydaO and yuaA genes in its native state.
Source: Rfam by way of RNAcentral